RNAcentral lists this transfer RNA (73 nucleotides) under Daphnia pulicaria. Its description in RNAcentral is "tRNA-Arg". It matches the Rfam family "tRNA". From Rfam's summary of the family: Transfer RNA (tRNA) molecules are approximately 80 nucleotides in length. Lineage: Eukaryota; Metazoa; Arthropoda; Branchiopoda; Diplostraca; Daphniidae. The record is from RNAcentral.
GGACGUGUGGCCCAAUGGAUAAGGCGCCUGCCUACGUAGCAGGAGAUUCCAGGUUCGAUCCCUGGCACGUUCA